Molecule: ribosomal RNA, 379 nt
Filed under: uncultured Blastomonas sp.
Lineage: Bacteria; Pseudomonadati; Pseudomonadota; Alphaproteobacteria; Sphingomonadales; Blastomonadaceae
Description: bacterial SSU rRNA
Rfam family: Bacterial small subunit ribosomal RNA
Source: RNAcentral
UACGGAGGGAGCUAGCGUUGUUCGGAAUUACUGGGCGUAAAGCGCACGUAGGCGGCCAUUCAAGUCAGAGGUGAAAGCCCGGGGCUCAACCCCGGAACUGCCUUUGAAACUAGAUGGCUUGAAUCUUGGAGAGGCGAGUGGAAUUCCGAGUGUAGAGGUGAAAUUCGUAGAUAUUCGGAAGAACACCAGUGGCGAAGGCGACUCGCUGGACAAGUAUUGACGCUGAGGUGCGAAAGCGUGGGGAGCAAACAGGAUUAGAUACUCUGGUAGUCCACGCCGUAAACGAUGAUAACUAGCUGUCAGGGCACAUGGUGUUUUGGUGGCGCAGCUAACGCAUUAAGUUAUCCGCCUGGGGAGUACGGUCGCAAGAUUAAAACUC